ACACCCUACGGGAGGCAGCAGUGAGGAAUAUUGGUCAAUGGGAGAGAUCCUGAACCAGCCAAGCCGCGUGAGGGAAGACGGCCCUAUGGGUUGUAAACCUCUUUUGUCGGAGAACAAAACCCGGGACGAGUCCCGGACUGCGUGUAUCCGAAGAAAAAGCAUCGGCUAACUCCGUGCCAGCAGCCGCGGUAAUACGGAGGAUGCGAGCGUUAUCCGGGUUUAUUGGGUUUAAAGGGUGCGUAGGCGGGCUUUUAAGUCAGCGGUAAAAAUUCGGGGCUCAACCCCGUCCGGCCGUUGAAACUGGG
RNAcentral lists this ribosomal RNA (305 nucleotides) under uncultured bacterium. Its description in RNAcentral is "bacterial SSU rRNA". It matches the Rfam family "Bacterial small subunit ribosomal RNA", at positions 333 to 637 of the family's 1533-position model. The record is from RNAcentral.